CCUACGGGAGGCAGCAGUGGGGAAUAUUGGACAAUGGGCGAAAGCCUGAUCCAGCCAUGCAGCGUGAGUGAAGAAGGCCUUAGGGUUGUAAAGCUCUUUCAGCGGGGAAGAUAAUGACGGUACCUGCAGAAGAAGGUGCGGCCAACUACGUGCCAGCAGCCGCGGUAAU
Molecule: ribosomal RNA, 169 nt
Filed under: uncultured bacterium
Lineage: Bacteria
Description: partial 16S ribosomal RNA
Rfam family: Bacterial small subunit ribosomal RNA
Source: RNAcentral